UUUUUCAAGAGAACGGAAUUCUAACAUAAUGGAACAAAACAGAGAUUUAGAUACUGAUACAUUAAUGCUAGAAGUAACACGUAAUAAUGAAAUUUAAAAAAUAUAAAUAAAUAUAAUAUAAUUGACCAAAUGCAUAAAGUAUUUCUUCUUAGCGGAUAAAUAUUAAAUACGAAAUUAUGUUUAAAUAAUAUUUUAUUUAUAAUAAGCAUGGUAAAAAUAUAUCUUAACAAUUGUAUCAACUAAAUAUGUAUCUUAACAAAUAAGCCAUUUGAUGAAGACUGUGCUACUAUAAACCCUUCUUUGCAUCUAAUGAUUCAUUAGAAGCGUGUAGUAAAUUCAAACACAUUAACACAGUAUCACAGGGAAUCUGAACCACAGAUACUAGUAACUAACACUAACCCACAAUUUUUCCAUUUUUCUUGCAUUCUUAUGCCAUGACCCCUGACCCUAGUUCUUGAAGCUUAGCAUAUGGAAUUGUUCAUUCUAAAGUAUUUAAAAUUACAGAUACAUUCAUCACUCUAAGCAAAAUAACUAAACACAUUUCGCAACUUAGAUGCUGUUCAAAAAUUCAAAUAACUUCUUUCUUUCUACAUUAUUGCUGGCUGUCUUUAACUUAUCUCUUUAUUUUUCAGUAUACUAGAACAUUUAGGAUGAUAGAAAACUUUCAUAAAAUUGUGUAUAUUCAAUGCGUUAUUAAAAAAUAAUUAAAAAAA
Biomphalaria pfeifferi is the source of this 713-nucleotide non-coding RNA. NCBI's taxonomy places the organism in Eukaryota, Metazoa, Mollusca, Gastropoda, Planorbidae. The record is from the annotation of a GenBank genome assembly.